RNAcentral lists this long non-coding RNA (701 nucleotides) under Dermacentor andersoni. Its description in RNAcentral is "uncharacterized LOC126520911". The record is from RNAcentral. Lineage: Eukaryota; Metazoa; Arthropoda; Arachnida; Ixodida; Ixodidae.
GGGCGAGACCUGCCGCCUCCGAAAGAGAAGGAUAUGCGAGAUUCGAGCAGUCAACCUUUGGAGCCAAGUGACCGAUCAAAGCCUUGUGACAUCACUGUCAGUGUGUUUGCAAAAAUCUUUAACUAUGUGACCAGUUCAUCACAACACAACAGCUGCCGUUGCAAUUACAACGCCACACCAGUCAACGGUAGAGUAACAGACGAACUGGUUAUAAAAGCGACACCAACGGCCAACGGUUGAAUGAAAGUGGGCGCAACUGGCUCCCAUAGAAUCUGUAUAUCUGUGCGGGUCUGGAGUUCCAGUAGGUCAUGCCCCAGACUACUGUGGUUUGCAUUAUUUACGGGAAGGGCCCAUCAUGCAAGAGCUGCCAGCCCUGGCAAAUCACCUUACCUUCACAGCAUGACAGUGGAAUGACUGCAUGCUUGAUGAUACUCAGUACAGCUGUUUGAAUGAAGAUGUUUGAACUUGACUGAAAGUGGGUGCAUCUCUUUAAGACCUGAGAAAAGAAGCAAAACAAACGAAAAGAUUCCACCACUGCAAUUUGGGUAGUGAAGGAUUCUGCAUUAGGCUACCCCUCGGCAUACGCAACUGGACAUUUCUACUUGUGAACAACUCAAGCAACUACCUUCACUGAGAUUUAUUCAUUUUAUUGUCAAAAUAUGUUGAAGUGUCACAGAUAAAGUUAUGCAAACAAGCACUCA